CAAGUUGAAUUCACAUUAAUCCACAUGUGUUAGAGUGGAUUGAAGUGAAACUUGAACUAAAUUACACCUCAAUUCACCCUAACAUAUGUGGAUUGAGAUAAAUCCGAUA
Molecule: microRNA precursor, 109 nt
Organism: Sorghum bicolor (sorghum)
Lineage: Eukaryota; Viridiplantae; Streptophyta; Magnoliopsida; Poales; Poaceae
Rfam family: MIR5565 microRNA precursor family
Source: Rfam